GGCCGGUUGGUGUAGUUGGUUAUCACGUAUCGUUAACACCGAUAAGGUCGCCGGAUCGAACCCGGCACUGGUCA
RNAcentral lists this transfer RNA (74 nucleotides) under Aspergillus thermomutatus. Its description in RNAcentral is "Neosartorya pseudofischeri tRNA". RNAcentral also lists the same sequence under 3 other names. Lineage: Eukaryota; Fungi; Ascomycota; Eurotiomycetes; Eurotiales; Aspergillaceae. The record is from Rfam by way of RNAcentral.